GACGAACGCUGGCGGCGUGCUUCAUACAUGCAAGUCGAACGAGAAGCUGACUUCGUUCCGUGGCAAGUGGCAGACGGGGGAGGGAUAUGUAGGAAAUCUGCCUUUAGGUGUGGGACAACAGAGGGAAACUUCUGCUAAUACCCCAUAUGAGCGUAGCUGAAAUGCUAUUCUUUAAAACUCCGGUGCCUAAAGAUGAGCCUGCAUCUGAUUAGCUAGUUGGUAGUGUAAUGGACUACCAAGUCGACGAUCAGUAGCUGGUGUGAGAGGAUGAUCAGCCACAAUGGGACUGAGACACGGCUCAUACUCCUACGGGAGGCAGCAGUAGGGAAUUUUGCGAAAUGGGCGAAAGCGUGACGCAGCAACGCAGCGUGAACGAUUAAGCUCUUCGGGGUGUAAAGUUCUGUCAGUGGGGACGAAACUUGACGGUACCCAAAGAGGAAGCACCGGCUAACUACGUG
Molecule: ribosomal RNA, 458 nt
Filed under: uncultured bacterium
Lineage: Bacteria
Description: partial 16S ribosomal RNA
Rfam family: Bacterial small subunit ribosomal RNA
Source: RNAcentral